AGGACGAACGCUGGCGGCGUGCUUAACACAUGCAAGUCGAGCGGUAAGGCCUUUCGGGGUACACGAGCGGCGAACGGGUGAGUAACACGUGGGUGAUCUGCCCUGCACUCUGGGAUAAGCCUGGGAAACUGGGUCUAAUACCGGAUAUGACCUGCUCUCGCAGUGGGGGGUGGGUGGAAAGAUUUUAUCGGUGCAGGAUGGGCCCGCGGCCUAUCAGCUUGUUGGUGGGUAAUGGCCUACCAAGGCGACGACGGGUAGCCGACCUGAGAGGGUGACCGGCCACACUGGGACUGAGACACGGCCCAGACUCCUACGGGAGCAGCAGUGGGGAAUAGUGCACAAUGGGCGAAAGCCUGAAUGCAGCGACGCCGCGUGAGGAUGAAGGCCUUGGGUUACGUAAACCGUCUUUACACGACAACGAGACG
Molecule: ribosomal RNA, 425 nt
Filed under: uncultured soil bacterium
Lineage: Bacteria
Description: bacterial SSU rRNA
Rfam family: Bacterial small subunit ribosomal RNA
Source: RNAcentral